CGGGGCGUAGCGCAGUCUGGUUAGCGCACUUGUUUUGGGAACAAGGGGUCGUGAGUUCGAAUCCCACCGCCCCGACCA
This 78-nucleotide transfer RNA is filed under the name Neisseriaceae bacterium. Its description in RNAcentral is "tRNA-Pro". It matches the Rfam family "tRNA". Rfam says of the family: Transfer RNA (tRNA) molecules are approximately 80 nucleotides in length. Their secondary structure includes four short double-helical elements and three loops (D, anti-codon, and T loops). The record is from RNAcentral. Lineage: Bacteria; Pseudomonadati; Pseudomonadota; Betaproteobacteria; Neisseriales; Neisseriaceae. RNAcentral also lists the same sequence under 2 other names.